UGACACCCGGGGUCGAGCUGUCGAUGGCGUCAAAGAGUUCUAUGAGAAGGGAGACAACUCCAAGACCAUACGAUGGACAACAAGCAGAGCUGGAUGACGCGACUAGUUACAUUAAUUAAUGUUACACGCUUUUUCUUGCAUGAAGGUCAGGUGUUACUAACAGCCAACCGCUUUAUCAACGCUCGCGUGAUGCAAACUGCUAUGCAGUAUAUCUGAUCCUACUCUGCCAAAAAAAAAACAAAAAAACAAGACAGUGUCGUUCAUCUACAUAAAUGGGAUAGGCAGGCUCAUACAUGAUGCAUGAGCCUUGGUUCAGAUAUGCUAAACCCAGGUCUACUUGCUUUCCCUGAAGCUGUAGCCGUCAGUGCAUCUUCAUUGUCGCCAUCAUCUGGCAUCUCCAACUCCUUCCCAUCACUGAUACUUCACUCACUCCCAUCAUCAAACUUGACUGGACUUCCAUCAGCAUCAGUUUUUCAGGGAAAUAGCUUUUCGUGUCCUCAGCAAUCCACCCAAACAAGAGAGGCAAAUCUGACUACAGCUUCUUUGGCACCCAUUAUAUCUCCAUGUUCUUUGUCUUCAAAAGCACAAAAUUCAACACCUCUUUGCAGUUUUGAUGUGCUAUCCUUAAAUCCAGCUGCAGACAGUCACCCAAAUAAGAAUGGUGGUCAAGAUGAGAAACCGAAACUACAAAGCUAUGGCCUGCAAAGGGGACUAGAGUGGAAAAUAGUGGGAGUUACGUCUUUGUCAGAAAGCUUCCCAAAGGGAAUGCUGAUCCAGUCUGCAGCAGCAACACAUAAUAACCAGCAGCAGGAAUCUCCUGAUGUCCAGCAAAUGCCCGAGAGAUCCACUUCUUCAAGGACUGGUCCUGGUGCAGUCUCGCCUAAAGGCAAUGAACAGUGGACUAUUGUAGGGGUGACAUCGCUAGAUCAGGCAGUUGGUUUUACAGGCACACUGCCACUAAUUUCAUCCCCAACCACACUAGUCAGUCAGACAUCAGCAAAGACACCAGCAGAGCUACCAACGCAGGAAAUAUACGACACUAACAGUGUUGGAGGUGGUGGUGUUGAUGCUGGUGUGCCAUUAUUGCCGGGUGACCCAUCAGCACUCUGUUGCCAGUGGAAGAUUGCAGGCAUCACUACUUUACCUGUGCCUACUGUGAUUACUGCUCCACAGGCGAACCUUCCCAACUCUGCAGUGCCGCAGCUAGUGGAAGACAGCCCUGGCUCAAAAGCAAGCCCAUAUCGUGUGGAGGAGGGUCCAAAAUGGAAGGUAGUUGGCAUGACUUCAAUUAGUUCAGAGAAACUGGGGGAUGCUCCAGGCAAGUCCUGUGCCUUUAGUCACCAUGGCAGCAGCAGGACCUCUAGUAUCGGUUCCAGCUGCACCAGCUUCAGCUGUUGGAGAAGGUGCCUGGAAGGUGGUAGGGGUUGUGCCGUUGCCUCAGACAGCUUGUGCUCCUAACAGUCAGCUUGCAAGUCAGUCCUCAGGCGUUGUCAGUUGCGAUCCGAGUUGUGCACCAUGCAGCACCCUCACCAGCCGAAAGAUUCUGCCCACGACAGACAUGCCAAAAGAAGUCAAAGCUUUGCCCCACCCUUUGUCUUUCCUUAAAAACUGUUCCAAUCAUUUCCGCAAUGCAGUCUUGAAGAAGAACACCGUGUCAACUAUGCUUGAGUUGAAAAGAGCUUAUGAAAAGCGAUGUAGGUUAGGAAAUAAAACAAAUCCAUUGUUUUGUCAAGAAUCUUCAAGUCAAGCUGCGAACAGUCAAAGGUGCAAAGGGCAGUGCAUAACGGACAGUUUUGUCAGUGCUGAUGACAGAACAGUGCUGUCAGAAUUGUACCAUUCACAGAUGUUGGACCAGUCUCAAUCUACAAACCAUUCAGAAUCAAGGGAGCCCACAGGAAGUUAUUCAGAGAUGACAAAACAGAGUCCGGUGUCGGAAAACCAAAUGCCAAAAAGUAAUGAAGAAAGAGGAUCAUUGUUAGGAUCAAGUAAACAUGCCAGACAAGAACAGGCUUCUUCAGAUGAUGCGGAGAUGUUGUAUGAUCAAUGGCGAGUAUUUAAGUCCGAAGGUAAUGAACUGGUAAUGGCUGCAAAUGGUGAAGGAGAUGGAGUGCACUUAGCUGCAGUUGAUCCCUGGGGUGUUUGUACUGAUGAGGACCUGGAUGAAAUUGCAGAAAUGAUGGCAGAAAGAGCAGACAAAACACCGCCAUCCUCAUCACGAAAACGUAAAUUAUCUACUCCUCGUAAAAUGGUGCAGUGAUUGCAGGCAGAGAAUGGGUACCAGUGCAUGAACAUGUCUGAGUGCAUUUAUGUUAUGAACAUGGCUGCCUAGCAGAUGCACAAUACAUAUGCUGGAUUUCUAUAAAGGAAUGCCAACAAAAAUGUGAACUGAAUGAUGUGAAACCUGAAGGGCAGCUGCAGUGCAGGCUUGUGAUAUUUGCAGUGGAAAAUUUUCCAGAUCCAUGCUGGUCAUGAAUCUGGAAAGGGACUCCGUGCAGCUUUAAAUUGUGUUCCAUGUUCUCCAAGAACAUUUAGAAAUGACUGACACUUAUCCGAUUGUAAACUACAUUAAAAAAAAAUAAAAAUAAUUGAAAUAGUUGUGGAGCAUGAGAAGGGCCUUUCAAUCUUCAAAACUGAAUUUGCAUGAAUGUGAAAAACGCAAACCCAGACAGACUUGGCAAUGCAAUGAGAGCAAUAUACUGCAGUCCCUUUAGUUUAUAAAUAUUCCUAUGAGAAUAUUAGGUUGAAAAAGUCCCUCUAGGAUACACCAUGUUUUCCAGUGAGGUCAGUUAAAAUUGUGCUGGUAUUGUAUACAAAUGUUUACUUGUAAAGCUGAAUGUGUAAAUGUGUUUACAUGUAAAUCUGAAUGUGUAACAGUUGCUGAGUUGAGGGAGGGAUAGGGGAAGGCCCUAGCAUACCUGUGCACCAUCAGCUGCAAAUGCAUUGAUGUCAAAUCUGUGAUUGUAACAAGCAGUACUGUCCAACGUGAUUUUGUGAAGAUCUGUGCCAAAAUAGUGAGCUUAAGACAUUGAAGACACAACACUCAAAGGUGGUACCUGCCCCGCGUAUGAAUAUGCAUAUAUAUAUAUGGAGUGUUGUUUUGUCGACAGAUUCUGUUGCAAGACAGCUAAGCAUUGUUGGUGGAUUAAUAAACCAGGCAAGUGGAUUUGCUGUGGUCUGUAUAUCAUUUCUGUAAUGCGCUCUUAACAAAUCAUUGGAGGAGCACUAUAUAAAUGUUUAUUAUUUCUGUUCAUGCUAAGUAUCUUUCACCUAUGCAUUUUAUUGCGCUAGAUCACAAGCGAAUUGUCAUAUGGCACAGGAUAUAAAAUUAUUGCUCGUACCCUGCUCCACAUUUUAAUAAAAUCAAAACAAGUUAAAA
This 3376-nucleotide unclassified non-coding RNA is filed under the name Pomacea canaliculata. Its description in RNAcentral is "uncharacterized LOC112565782, transcript variant X3". The record is from RNAcentral. Lineage: Eukaryota; Metazoa; Mollusca; Gastropoda; Architaenioglossa; Ampullariidae.